AAUCAACGCUGGCGGCGUGCCUAACACAUGCAAGUCGAACGCGACUUAGGCUUCGGUCUAAGUUGAGUGGCGAACGGGUGAGUAACACGUGGGUGACCUACCUUCGAGUGGGGGAUAACGUCCCGAAAGGGACGCUAAUACCGCAUAACAUCCUGCCUUUGAACAGGUGGAGAUCAAAGCCGGGGAUCGCAAGACCUGGCGCUUGAUGAGGGGCCCGCGCCUGAUUAGCUAGUUGGUGGGGUAAUGGCUCACCAAGGCGACGAUCAGUAUCCGGCCUGAGAGGGCGGACGGACACACUGGGACUGAGACACGGCCCAGACUCCUACGGGAGGCAGCAGUGGGGAAUUGUUCGCAAUGGGCGCAAGCCUGACGACGCAACGCCGCGUGGAGGAUGAAGGUCUUCGGAUUGUAAACUCCUGUUGCUCGGGACGAACAGCUCCGACCUAAUACGUCGGAGUCCGACGGUACCGAGUGAGGAAGCCCCGGCUAACUCUGUGC
This 498-nucleotide ribosomal RNA is filed under the name uncultured bacterium. RNAcentral's name for it is "bacterial SSU rRNA". It matches the Rfam family "Bacterial small subunit ribosomal RNA", at positions 32 to 508 of the family's 1533-position model. The record is from RNAcentral.